GACGAACGCUGGCGGCGUGCUUAACACAUGCAAGUCGAACGGAAAGGCCCUGCUUUUGUGGGGUGCUCGAGUGGCGAACGGGUGAGUAACACGUGAGUAACCUGCCCUUGACUUUGGGAUAACUUCAGGAAACUGGGGCUAAUACCGGAUAGGAGCUCCUGCUGCAUGGUGGGGGUUGGAAAGUUUCGGCGGUUGGGGAUGGACUCGCGGCUUAUCAGCUUGUUGGUGGGGUAGUGGCUUACCAAGGCUUUGACGGGUAGCCGGCCUGAGAGGGUGACCGGCCACAUUGGGCCUGCGAUACGGCCCAGACUCCUACGGGAGGCAGCAGGGGGGAGUAUUGCACAAUGGGCGGACGCCUGAGGCAGCAACGCCGCGUGCGGGAUGACGGCCUUCGGGUUGUAAACCGCUUUCGCCUGUGACGAAGCGUGAGUGACGGUAAUGGGUAAAGAAGCACCGGCUAACUACGUG
RNAcentral lists this ribosomal RNA (468 nucleotides) under uncultured bacterium. RNAcentral's name for it is "partial 16S ribosomal RNA". It matches the Rfam family "Bacterial small subunit ribosomal RNA", at positions 28 to 507 of the family's 1533-position model. The record is from RNAcentral.